AUUAGUUAUAUAAUCUAACUGCCAGAAGGUGGAGCUCUAUGAACCAUUUCAGACCAGAUUCAGUUCAGUUCUGCAGCUUCAAAACAGCAUAUAGUUAUAAACCAAAUCAGUCACAACCUAGACAAGCACUGUAAGCAUUUAAUCUCAAAGCCAUUAUCUCUUAUUAUGUUGCUUCUGAUAUUCAUCAUGUUUCCUCUUUUAAAAGAGAAUGCUGCUGCAGAUUUAAUAACAUCAUUGUUCACAGAGAAACAUGUUUUUGAAGGAGAUGAUGUGACUUUAUCCUGCGACUACAGUGGUACUGUUUUCAGUUUACAGUGGUACCGUCAAUAUCCCGGAUCCAAACCUGAGAAUCUCAUUUUUCACACUGAGACCAAUAAUGGGUCAGAGCCAAAGCUUCGUCUGUAUGCCACUGCUGAUAAAGCAGUCAAACGUAUGAAUCUGAGUAUCUCUACAACACAAACAGAGGAUUCAGCUGUGUAUUACUGUGCCCUGGUGCCCACAGUGACAUAA
Molecule: non-coding RNA, 510 nt
Organism: Misgurnus anguillicaudatus (oriental weatherfish)
Lineage: Eukaryota; Metazoa; Chordata; Actinopteri; Cypriniformes; Cobitidae
Source: the annotation of a RefSeq genome assembly